GAUGAAGAACGUAGUGAAAUGCGAUACGUAAUGUGAAUUGCAGAAUUCAGUGAAUCAUCGAAUCUUUGAACGCACAUUGCGCCUGCCAGCACUCUGGCAGGCAUGCCUGUUCGAGCGUCAUUUCAACCAUCAAGCCCUAGGCUUGCGUUGGAGCCCUGCGGCUGCUGCAGGCCCCUAAAAGCAGUGGCGGGCUCGCUAUCACACCGAGUGCAGUAGAUUACUCUUCGCUCAGGGCGUGUGGCGGGUUCCAGCCGUGAAACCCCCUACUUCUCAAGGUUGACCUCGGAUCAGGUAGGAAUACCCGCUGAACUUAAGCAUAUCAAUAAGCGGAGGA
RNAcentral lists this unclassified non-coding RNA (334 nucleotides) under soil metagenome. RNAcentral's name for it is "partial contains 5.8S ribosomal RNA, internal transcribed spacer 2, and large subunit ribosomal RNA". The stretch from base 1 to 120 matches the Rfam family "5.8S ribosomal RNA", at positions 35 to 154 of the family's 154-position model. The record is from RNAcentral.